GCCAGCUUGGUGUAGUGGUUUGGGCAUUGGACUAUGACUCUAGAGAUCAGGGUUGGAUUCCCUGCUCAGGUG
This 72-nucleotide transfer RNA is filed under the name Phrynosoma platyrhinos (Desert horned lizard). RNAcentral describes it as "tRNA-OTHER". The record is from RNAcentral. Lineage: Eukaryota; Metazoa; Chordata; Lepidosauria; Squamata; Phrynosomatidae.